RNAcentral lists this long non-coding RNA (1707 nucleotides) under Sus scrofa (pig). RNAcentral describes it as "lncRNA (ENSSSCG00025045557.1)". Lineage: Eukaryota; Metazoa; Chordata; Mammalia; Artiodactyla; Suidae. The record is from RNAcentral.
CGCCGGGGGCCGACCUGCCGGCUCCUCCCCCCGCCGCCCAGCGAGCAUAAAGCCCCGCGCUCGCCCGCGCGCCCAGGCGCCCGCGGAGGCGGCGGCGCCCGGACCCCACUCCCGUUGGGCUCCCGGGUCCUCGAGGGCAAGAGAGACCCCGAAUCCCGAGGCGGGCCGGGACCUGGGCGCGGCCGCACCCCACACCCACCCUGGCUCGGGGGCCGGGCCGCGGGAACGCCCUCCCGGAAUGAAGCGCUUCCCGGUGCCUUCAAGGUAGCUCGGUUCCGGAUCGGGGACCUCCCCAGUCCUCCCUCUCAGGUCCCUGCUCUCCUGAAUCUAAGAGGUCCCCAAUCUCUCUGGGUCGGGCGGGAGAUAGCCCCCCAAUCCUCUCACGUUCCAACUGGCGAGGAUCCCUCCAUUCUCCCAGUCGGAGCGAUUAUCGCCCUCCGAGCCCCCAAUUUCCUCUGAACCUAAUUGAGGGGUCCCUUUCAUUGGCCCUCAGUCCACUCCCAGUGUCCCAUGUCCCCCAUAUGCAAUGUGGGAACCCCUCUCAGUGCCUCGCGUCCCGAGCGGGAAGCCUCCACCAGCACCCACUAGAAACCGUGUCAGUUCUCCUCAACCCUUUCGGUCUCCGAGUGAGAAUUCCCCUCAGGUCCCCCAAACCCCUUCGUCCAGAGUCGAAGAAAACUCCCAGCCCCGAGCUCGGGUCUUUAGUUUGCCGUGCCCCGCGGCCCCCCACCCCCCACCCUCGGGUGUGAGGCGUCGCCACUGUUUCCCUCUCUCCCUGGCUCACUCUUGUCAGCCCUACUCGGACUUCUGUCUAGAUUCGGGAACGCCGGUUCCAGAGUCUCCCCGUCCACUCCCCACGGAAGCUGUAAGAAAGAGUUCUAACCCCACCCCAUCGGAUUGGAAGUACCUAAGCUGCCGGCCCACUGUGUUUGGAAUGACUUCUCUCAGUCCAUCUCAAUUUAGACCACUCCCCAUGGAGGCAAAUGCCUUCCCGGCUUCCUUCUCCCCCCCACCCUGGCUUCUAGGUCUCUGAGAUCCUCCAGUGUUUUCGCCCCAGGCUCCUGGGAACCAUCUCACCCACCCCCUUAAACUCCCUCCCUCUAGCCUGGGAACCCGGAGGAAGCCCAUCCUGGAUCACCUCUGGAUCAAGAGUACUCUCUCUCCCUGUCUCCCCUUCUCCAAAUCCAUGUCCCCGCCUCAAUCCCCUGGCUGAAAUCAGCCAAGAAACUGUCAAAGCCAAAGGCUGAGGCAGCCAGCCACUCCUGCUCAAAUCCCUAACCCUGCUGGGGGUCUCAGUGCCACAUAAGCCACUCCCGCCCAAUUGCCUCCCACUCCUUCCCCCACCCACCUUCAAUCUAGCCAGUGUAACCCAGUGACAGUCCUUGAUGACAAGUUCCUUGCCCACCUUGACCUCCAUUCUCAAGUCACCCACCUUUUUAUUAAUGUGUGCUAGAGCUCUGGGCAACACAACCCUGACCUCUGUAAGGGUGCCCAUCCCCCUCCUCUUAGUACACCUCCCCUGCCCCCACCCCAACUACCUCUGGGAUAAGAACAUGAGAGACUCAAGUUAAUGGUUUCCUCUGGGACCUUCUGGGAACACUCAGCAGGUAUAUCCUGCCACCCUGUAUGCAUGACACUAGAAACAACUUGCUUUUUCCUGUUUUUUGUUUGUUGGUUGGUUUGUUUGUUUGUUUGUUUGUUUAUCAU